This 497-nucleotide ribosomal RNA is filed under the name uncultured bacterium. Its description in RNAcentral is "partial 16S ribosomal RNA". It matches the Rfam family "Bacterial small subunit ribosomal RNA", at positions 28 to 507 of the family's 1533-position model. The record is from RNAcentral.
GAUGAACGCUGGCGGCGUGCCUAAUACAUGCAAGUCGAGCGAACGGACGAGAAGCUUUCUUCUCUGAUGUUAGCGGCGGACGGGUGAGUAACACGUGGAGAACCUACCUAUAAGACUGGGAUAACUUCGGGAAACCGGAGCUAAUACCGGCUGAUAUUUUGAACCGCAUGGUUCAAAAGUGAAAGACGGUCUUGCUUUCACUUAUAGAUGGAUCCGCGCUGCAUUAGCUAGUUGGUAAGGUAACGGCUUACCAAGGCAACGAUGCAUAGCCGACCUGAGAGGGAGAUCCAGCAACACGGAAACUGGGACAGGUCCCGAACCCUAACGGAGGGCGCAGUAGGGAAAUAUCCGCAAUGGGGGACAGCCUUGAGGAGGAAAGCCGGGUGAGAGAUGAAGGUCUUUGGAGUGUUAAACUCUGUUAUGAGGGAAGAACAUAUGUGUAAGUAACUGUGCACAUCUUGACGGUACCUAGUAAGAGAGGCACGGCUAACUUCGUG